GCCCGGGUGGUCUAGUGGUAUGAUUCUCGCUUAGGGUUACAACCCAAGCAUAUCUGCGAGAGGUCCCGCGUUCGAUCCGCGGCUCGGGCC
Aspergillus heteromorphus CBS 117.55 is the source of this 90-nucleotide non-coding RNA. The record is from the annotation of a RefSeq genome assembly. NCBI's taxonomy places the organism in Eukaryota, Fungi, Ascomycota, Eurotiomycetes, Eurotiales, Aspergillaceae.